Molecule: RNA transcript, 3341 nt
Organism: Drosophila subpulchrella
Lineage: Eukaryota; Metazoa; Arthropoda; Insecta; Diptera; Drosophilidae
Gene name: tropomyosin-2
Exons: 3
Source: RefSeq, a predicted model, not a curated record
GGAACUGCAAAAGUUAAUAAUGCAUAUGAAUGGCAAAAAGUGAGAUACAACAAUAAACCACAACCCACGGCAACAACAACAGUGGCGGUUAAGCAAAAGCCGCAACAACAACAACAAGCACAAAAACAAAUUCAAAAAAAUGCAACAAAAGUCGCGCCAGCAACAGCGUUACCGUUAACCGGCAACAUAACCGGCAGCAGCAUAACCGUUAAGCAAGGCCCGAAAAUCAAAUUCGUUGGCAACGCGGCGCGCCGGCAAUCGUUGGCCCAUCAAAUCAAGCGAGCACAUCGCCAUCUGCUGACCAGCGGGGGUCAGGACAAGCAGCCGCAGCAGCAAAAGCAAAAAACACAAGUGCAGUCGCCGACUGGCAGCAAAACAGUUGCCAAACCGAAACAGCGGUCGAAACAAUUGUUAAAAAGCGAUAAGCCAGGCAGGGAGAAGACCAAGCAGCCGCUGCCCAGAAAGCAACGCGGAGUCAUCGCCAGGAGGAGCAACAAGCGAGCAGAUUCAGAAUCUUCGGGCCUCUCAUCCCGCUGGUGUUCCAUCGAGGAGCAGCUGAACCUGCUGGACGACCUGCUCUACUACUGCGAUGAGGAGGCCGAACUGUAUCUAGCCCAGCUGUACGAACGGUUCGAGAGCCUCCGCACAAGGAGCAGGAGUUCCUCGCCAGCCAGCGAUUUCUGGAGCGACUCGGACAUGGAGCACCACGACGACUCCAGCACCAGUGGCACUGGCAGCCACACGGCCAGCAACACGAGCCUGGUUCCCGCCUCGCUGAAGCGCCGUGGCCACCAGCAUCAUCCGCGCUUCGCCGGCACACGCCGUCCCAAUGUGCCCAAUGUCCAGGAGAUUCUGGCCGCCCUCUAUCGCGGCGACUCCAAGAGCGCCCUCUCCAAUCUCAGGGGAGAGACGCAACCAGAGGAAGCAGAGCAAACACAGCAGCCGGAGGAGGCAGUGCUGCCCCCCAGCAGGAGCACCUUAAGUCUGCCGCUCAGCGAAUCGGUGACCAAUUCCCUGGGCAGCAACAGUCCCACGCCCACGGACGAGAGCAGUGUCCAGGAUGAAGGUGCCAGCCAACCGAUGGCUGUUCCUUUGGCAGAAGGAGCCACUCCUGCAGCAGCCACAACCACCUCCGCCAAAAGCAAGAAAAAGAAGCGGGAGAAGGGUGAAAAGUCCGAGAGAUCCGAGAAAUCUGAGAAGUCCGAAAAGAAAAAGAAGUCUUCUGGCAAAAAGGAGCGCAGCAAGCGGUCCAGUGCCAUGGAGAUGAGCAGCGACAGCCUGGCCACCGACCUCAGUGGCGGGGCCAUUGACGAGGGCAUCGCCCUGGCCGAUGACGACGAGAACCAGGCGGCGGAGUGGUCCAAGCUGCGGUGCACCAGCGAGGCGGCCGAGAUUGUGGCCGAGCGGGAGGCGCGGCGGAACAAGGGACGCUGCGCUGACUAUCCGGGACUGGCCUUUGGCAGAUCCAUCUUCAGUUCGGACACCAUGAUGAAGUUCAACAUCAUCCGGAACGAGCUGCACAACAUCAUGAACACACAGCUCAAGCGGGUAAUUAGUGGUUGAGUCUUGGAGUCGGUCGUAAUUUCUUUCACAUAACUAAUCACCUUUCUAAACCUUUUGCAUAUUCUUUACCAAGCGAAGAAGCCACCUCGCUGUUGUUGUUGUCGUUCUGCUAAAGGGGACUCCAAAGUUUGGUUAGGUUCUUUGGCAAUUGCUCCAAUUUGUUGCUGCUUCUUUUCGCAUUGCAAAGCGAUUACGUCGUCGUCUUCGUCUUUUCGCGAAUUUCUAGUAGUGACUUAACCCUUGGCUGGCCCUCAGGGUCUUUCUUCGGCCCUCGUGUUUUCAUUCGGUUAGCUGUUGUAAAUCUUGACCCACUUGGCUUAUACCACUUAUAUUUCUCACCUUUCACUCGAGAGAUGGCCUAAAAUCGAUUUGGUUAAUAGUGUUUAAAAGUUUUUUGCUUAUGAGUUAUAGUUCGUUAAAAUAUUUUUAUACCAUGAGAUUUUUUUUUGGUAAAUCUUUUCCCCUCCCCCCUGUAAAGUAUUCCAUUAAUUUGGGCAAAUAUGUUUACUUAAUUGCAGGCAAUUGUUUAAUUAGUUACGCAAUUGCUGGAAUGCCUAACGGUACUCGCCGGCCACCUGUUGCUCUCCCUCUCUUUCGCCCGCUGCUGUGCGGGUGGCAGAAAGAGAGCGUCCGAUAAGACCGCUAAAUGGUAUUAGUGCUUUUUUUUUUGUUUUUCAAUUUUUUCGCUCAAUUCUCGGUGCGCUGAAAAAGGCAACACGGUUUGAAAAACUAAAAGGAAAACCCGGCCAUAUUUGGCCAAAGCAUAAACUAUGCGGCGUGCGGGCCAAGCUCGAUUUGCCAAAAUUGGCCAACAAAUUAAUUAUUAAACGGCGAUACUCGGCGACCUUCCCCUUUUAUUUACUUUUAAUUUCUCUUCAAUGUCGUCGGGCUAAAAAUGGAAAAGCGCUCAUUGUUUGCACUAUCAAAACAAUUACGCCAUCGCCAUCGAAAGUCAAAAAGUCGAAAAGUGGGAAAUAUUAAGAGCUACAGGUGGUUGUUGAGCGUUUAGAAAAAAAAAAGCGGUUAACAUCCCGAUUAGUCAUUACGUUGCGCUUACGUCGUUUGCUGAUAAGCGUGAUAAAGCGCCGGCAUUGUGUUUUCCGUUUUCCGUAGUGGAAGCAAUUAGUGGAAUGAGUGGGCGGGGGGCGGCGGUGGGGGCGUGGGCUUCGUUGCGUUGGCACACACACGCACGCACACCUGCAAGCCACCUUACCUGCUUACUCAUCUCUCUCUUCAACCAUUUUACAUGUCCGAUUUUUGCAUAAUAUUAUUUGCCUGGAAAUGACAAAAAUCCGAAAUAUUUCUUCACUAAUUAAUGCCAAAACAACAACAAUGUCGACAUGGACAGAAUUUUAGCGGCUUUUAACAGGUUUUCCAGCCGCACACACACACACACACUGGCGCACCGUUUUAGGCGAGGCAGACAGACUGGAAGGCCAAGCCUCUGGUUGUCCCGCUCGCACAAACCACCACCGCCGCUUCGACUGGCGAUUCGGUGGAUUCAUUUCCAGUUACGUACUCGUCGCAGUCGCGUCGUCGUUGUCUCUCUCUCCGUGUGUGUUUUUUGCCACCAAAUAGCAAUAUUCAAUAUUUAAACGCAGCCCAUUCUGUUUCCGAAGUUCGCCUGCCAGUUUUGCCACCAAACACUGCCCUUUAGAAUUCGAAUCCAAGCCAGGGAAAAAGCAGUUGAAGCAAAAGAAAAACCGGUGGUUCACUGUCUGCGAGUGUGUGUGUGCGUCCCGAGCUCUUUCGUUUUCGUGAGUAGUGCUUCUUCAGUU